Non-coding RNA from Oncorhynchus mykiss (rainbow trout), 2866 nucleotides. The record is from RefSeq and is a predicted model, not a curated record. Lineage: Eukaryota; Metazoa; Chordata; Actinopteri; Salmoniformes; Salmonidae.
GAUGGCUGGAUGGAUGAUGGAUAGAUGGCUGGAUGGAUGAUGGAUAGAUGGCUGGAUGGAUGAUGGAUAGAUGGCUGGAUGGAUGAUGGAUAGAUGGCUGGAUGAUGGAUGGAUGAUGGAUGGACACUGUAGCAAAGACAUUCUAUUAUUUCUACUGUAGUUUACUUGAAGGACCUCGCUCUGUAUCACCACGUCGUUGAGGAGGACCUCCCUCUGUAUCACCACGUCGUUGAGGAGGACCUCCGUCUGUAUCACCACGUCACUGAGGAGGACCUCCCUCUAUCACCACGUCACUGAGGAGGACCUCCCUCUGUAUCACCACGUCACUGAGGAGGACCUCCGUCUGUAUCACCACGUCGCUGAGGAGGACCUCCCUCUGUAUCACCACGUCACUGAGGAGGACCUCCCUCUAUAUCACCACGUCACUGAGGAGGACCUCCCUCUGUAUCACCACGUCACUGAGGAGGACCUCCCUCUGUAUCACCACGUCGCUGAGGAGGACCUCCCUCUAUAUCACCACGUCACUGAGGAGGACCUCCCUCUGUAUCACCACGUCACUGAGGAGGACCUCCCUCUGUAUCACCACGUCGCUGAGGAGGACCUCCCUCUAUAUCACCACGUCACUGAGGAGGACCUCCCUCUAUAUCACCACGUCACUGAGGAGGAGCUGAGUAACUAACUUUUACAUGAGUUGAUUGCGUAGUAGUGGUACAUCUAAAAUGGGACCCUAUUCCCUAUAUUGUACACUACUUUAGACCAGAGCCCUAUGGCACCAUAUUCCCUAUAUUGUACACUACUUUAGACCAGAGCCCUAUGGCACCCUAUUCCCUAUAUUGUACACUACUUUAGACCAGAGCCCUAUGGGUUCUGAAGUUUCAAAGUAGUGCACUAUAUAGGGAAUGGGAUUCCAUUUGAGACGCAACACUAUGACUACUAGGACCACCUGACUGACUGCUGGUAGAAUCUACACACAGGUUUGACCUCCUUUCUCCACUAUGGGGCACUCUACAGUAGGACUAAAGCUUUGUCGAAUGCUGCACAUGGUUAAUACAUGGAUGAGGUUUUAAUACACUGAUGAGGUUAAUACACUGAUGAGGUUUUAAUACACUGAUGAGGUUAAUACACUGAUGAGGUUUUAAUACACUGAUGAGGUUUUAAUUCACUGAUGAGGUUAAUACACUGAUGAGGUUUUAAUACACUGAUGAGGUUUUAAUUCACUGAUGAGGUUAAUACACUGAUGAGGUUAAUACACUGAUGAGGUUUUAAUACACUGAUGAGGUUAAUACACUGAUGAGGUUUUAAUACACUGAUGAGGUUUUAAUACACUGAUGAGGUUUUAAUACACUGAUGAGGUUAAUACACUGAUGAGGUUUUAAUACACUGAUGAGGUUUUAAUUCACUGAUGAGGUUUUAAUACACUGAUGAGGUUUUAAUUCACUGAUGAGGUUUUAAUACACUGAUGAGGUUAAUACACUGAUGAGGUUAAUACACUGAUGAGGUUUUAAUUCACUGAUGAGGUGAGGACACACGGAUGAGGUUUUAAUACACGGAUGAGGUGAGGAUACACAGAUGAGGUAAUGAUACGCGGAUGAGGUGAGGAUACACGGAUGAGGUUUUAAUACACUGAUGAGGUGAGGAUACACGGAUGAGGUUUUAAUACACGGAUGAGGUGAGGAUACACGGAUGAGGUUUUAAUACACUGAUGAGGUGAGGAUACACGGAUGAGGUAUUUGAUACACGGAUGAGGUAAUGAUACACGAAUGAGGUAAUGAUACACGGAUGAGGUGAGGAUACACGGAUGAGGUGAGGAUACACGGAUGAGGUGAGGAUACACGGAUGAGGUAUUUGAUGUGGACGGACACAGAUGUUUACUCGGUGUUGGUUACAGUUUGUCUAUUUCCUCUCCAGCGAUGACAUGGUUUUUGUUGUUGUUUCAUUAUGUCUCGGAAACCUGCUUUUUCUGGUACUUCUCAAAUAAACAGAUAACAUCUUGUGGUGAUUUUUAAGUUUUCAUGUUUGUAAUAACGGUCUUUAGCGUGGAGACGGCCAAAUCAUUCAGUUGAUUUCCUUAAUGUAGUCUUAUGUUUUGUGAGUUUAACCUUGCAGACAUGACGAGUGUCAUCGUGUGUUUGGCUGGGAGCCGUCAUGAUUCAGCUGCUGUUCAUGUGGUUGAAUCUGUGAUUGCUUAGUUCAUAGUUUAUAACAAUGACAUUUAUUUGUUGAAUCACGUCGAGUUAAUUUGAUGUUUCAUCUGUGUACGUUUUUAUGAUUUAAAAGCAUAUGGACAGCGGUGUUUCUUCCACAUUUUUGUUGUUGAGAACUUAAAUACUGUGACUUGACUUCAGGUACCCAGAAUGAUCAAUAACUUCAGGUACCCAGAAUGAUCAAUAACUUCAGGUACCCAGAAUGAUCAAUAACAGCAGUACAAAUGGAAUAACCAACUGUAGCUUUGGUAGUUUCACAGAUCCUUUAAAAGUGCUGUUAGCAUUGACUUACUCUUCAAGUAAGAUGUACAUCAAUCAUCGAUCAUGUUUUUUCAAUCACUUCACCGUGAGGACUUGUUUCUAUUUAAAUCUGAACCUGUAGUGCUGACAUCUUUGUCCUGGGGAAUAUGGUAGUCCUGUGUGAGACUUUAACAACACUGACCAUCCAGUCUGUCAAUACAAUCACAGUCUGUAGCCUAACGUGUAAAAGUCCCAGCCUCGGUCUUACACAGUAGCUGAAUGUUUAUUCUGUUUUUACUAAUAAAAAAAACACUUGACACAUAUAUUUACUGUUCUGUUUUUUUUAAAUGCUGUUUGACUGUUCAUGAUUCCAUGUCAACUUUACUACACCAGAAACAAUAAAGUGUUUUUUUGAUUCCUUU